GAUGAACGCUGGCGGCGUGCCUAAUACAUGCAAGUCGAGCGAACAGACGAGGAGCUUGCUCCUCUGACGUUAGCGGCGGACGGGUGAGUAACACGUGGAUAACCUACCUAUAAGACUGGGAUAACUUCGGGAAACCGGAGCUAAUACCGGAUAAUAUAUUGAACCGCAUGGUUCAAUAGUGAAAGACGGUUUUGCUGUCACUUACAGAUGGAUCCGCGCCGCAUUAGCUAGUUGGUAAGGUAACGGCUUACCAAGGCAACGAUGCGUAGCCGACCUGAGAGGGUGGUCGGCCACACUGGAACUGAGACACGGUCCAGACGACUAAGGGAGGCAGCAGUAGGGAAUCUGCCGCAAUGGGCGAAAGCUUUGCGGAACAACGCCGCGUGAGUGAUGAAGGUCUUCGGAUCGUAAAACUCUGUUAUUAGGGAAGAACAAAUGUGUAAGUAACUAUGCACGUCUUGACGGUACCUAAACAGAAAGCCACGGCUAACUACGUG
RNAcentral lists this ribosomal RNA (497 nucleotides) under uncultured bacterium. RNAcentral describes it as "partial 16S ribosomal RNA". It matches the Rfam family "Bacterial small subunit ribosomal RNA", at positions 28 to 507 of the family's 1533-position model. The record is from RNAcentral.